This 335-nucleotide unclassified non-coding RNA is filed under the name soil metagenome. Its description in RNAcentral is "partial contains 5.8S ribosomal RNA, internal transcribed spacer 2, and large subunit ribosomal RNA". The stretch from base 1 to 120 matches the Rfam family "5.8S ribosomal RNA", at positions 35 to 154 of the family's 154-position model. The record is from RNAcentral.
GAUGAAGAACGCAGCGAAAUGCGAUAAGUAAUGUGAAUUGCAGAAUUCAGUGAAUCAUCGAAUCUUUGAACGCACAUUGCGCCCAUUAGCAUUCUAGUGGGCAUGCCUGUUCGAGCGUCAUUUCAACCCUUAAGCCCUGUUGCUUAGCGUUGGGAGCCUACAGUACUGUAGCUCCCCAAAGUUAGUGGCGGAGUCGGUUUCACACUCUAGACGUAGUAAUUUUUUCUCGUCUGUAGUUGAGCCGGUCCCCUGCCGUAAAACACCCAACUUCUGAACGUUGACCUCGAAUCAGGUAGGACUACCCGCUGAACUUAAGCAUAUCAAUAAGCGGAGGA